Molecule: unclassified non-coding RNA, 218 nt
Filed under: soil metagenome
Description: partial contains 5.8S ribosomal RNA, internal transcribed spacer 2, and large subunit ribosomal RNA
Source: RNAcentral
AACACUGUUAACCUGCGGUACCUGCGGAAGGAUCAUUACAGAGUGUAAAAACUCCCAAAACCCAUGUGAACAUACCUUUUUGUUGCUUCGGCGGGAUCGCCCCGGGCGCCUUGUGUGCCCCGGAGUCAGGCGCCCGCCGGGGGACCCAAACUCUUGUUUUUAACGAGUAUCUUCUGAGUAACGUUUUUAAAUAAAUAAAAACUUUCAACAAUGGAUCU